Podarcis lilfordi (Lilford's wall lizard) is the source of this 73-nucleotide non-coding RNA. NCBI's taxonomy places the organism in Eukaryota, Metazoa, Chordata, Lepidosauria, Squamata, Lacertidae. The record is from the annotation of a GenBank genome assembly.
GACCGCUUAGCUCAGUCAGUGGAGCAUAAGGCUCUUAAUCUCAGGGUUGUGGGUCUGAGCCCCAUGGUGGGCA